UGCGCGCGGGGACAGCCGGGCGCCCAGCACCUCCUGGAACCACAAAGGCGCUCAAGUCCGCCCUCUGAGAGCGACGUCCGCUACAACCGUCUGGCCGCACACACAACGCCCACUGCUGGCCCGCGGGUCUUCACCCGGGUCCACGCACGCACGCGCGCGUCUGCCGCACCUGCACGUGCAACCAACACCUGUGGGCGCCACCUGAACACGGCCCUGCGCUCCGAACUUUAAACCCCCGGCCCCAUCUCCACCUGCAGCCGCACUGGGCUGUGGGCUUCAACACCCGGAUUUUGGAAGGACGGAAACACUCAGUCCUUACAGUGCGCCACCACUACUUGAACUUGAGAUGGUGUUUGGAUUUCACCAGCUUCCCACUGGCGCCCCUCUCGGCCCCAAGAUGCAAGCAGGACAUCGCGCUGGAUUUAUUUGAAAGGCCAAGAAAGAGACUGACAGAGAUCUUCUAUCCACUGAUUCACUCUCCAAAUGCCUGCCACAGUUGCGGCUCGGGCCAGGCUGAAACCAAGAGCCGGGAACUCCAACCGUGUCUCCCAGGUGGUGGGGCACAGCACCAAGACAGGACAAACCCGGAUCCAGGAUUCCGGGGCACCUGAGCCGCGAGCUGAGCGCUGUUCUGUAUCCUCGGAAGGAAGUCUCUCCGAGACCAUCAGGGAGUCUGCUGGUCCCUACUCGCGUUGCUCGAAGACCCGCCGUGCGCAGAGCACGGUCCCCUUCAACAAAAUCCUCCGUGAAGUCACUUCCCCAGGUGCUUCUCCUGGUCUCCCACGCGGGUGCAGGGACCCAAGGACGUGGGCCAUCCUCCACUGCCUUCCCGGGCCACAGCAGAGAGCUGGUUCGGAAGUGGAGCAGCCGGGACUAGAACCGGCGUCCAGAUGGGAUGCCGGCGCUGCAGGCGGUGGCUUCAUCUGCCGUCGCUGCCUGACGACUUCCUGCGGGGAGGACUCACUGCCGCUGUACUGUGCCCUUGGAGUCCCUUCCUUCCGGCCCGCCCACGUCGGUGCAGGGGUCUAAGGCCUCGGGCCGUCCUCUGUGCCUCCCCAGGCAGGUGGAUUAGCAGAGAGUUGGAUUGGAAGCGCAAGAGCGGGGCUUGAACUAGCGCCCCUGCGGGCCGGCGGCGGCCUAAGUGGGGCGUAACCCGCCGCGCCGCAGCGCCGGCCCCUCGGUGGCUGUUUGCUUUUCUCAUUUGCUCCAUCUCCGACCUCUGAUAGGUCAGGCUGCUCUCCUACUGCUGACGGCGCUCAAAUCAUCAGUCGCCUCCUCUCGGGAGACCCGCAGGGGUCAGCCCACGGGCGCGGGGAGGGUGCGGGUCAGCACGGGUCCAGCAGGGGGCGAGCCCGAGGCCGCUGGAGCAGCCGCGGCGAGGACGGCCCCGCCCGGGCCGCUCUGGGUGCGCCGGCUGCUCGCGGCUCUUUGUCUUCCGCGGUCGCUUGCGCUCGGUCCUCGGGACCCGGCUUCGGAGAAUCCGAGCUUUCUCCCGGGGAGACCGGCUCCAGCCCCUUCAAGCCGGGGUCGCGGGGCGCGGCCGGAGCUGUCGUUCGUCUCCACCAAUGCCGCGGGACGCGCGGGCGGGGCAAGGGCCGGGCUUCCCACCUGCUCGGCUGGCCACUGCCUGCCCCUGGGCCUUGUCCGCCGGCCACACACACACCUGCUCUGAGCGACUCCUGUAGGCUCCGAUCCGCCCCAGGCACAGGGAGGUGAAGUCACUCCCCCCAGGUCACACAGCUCGCAGGUGGAGCCCGGGCCUGACCGACCCUGUGCAGGAGCCACUCCCAAAGCCCCCUUCCCACCCUCCGUGCCCAGAAGGGACCACCCCGUGCCAGGGGACACGUGUGUCACACGUGUCUGCCCACAGGUGAAUGCGCAGUUCCGGCUUCUCAGCAGGUGUAUCUCAUUACCUUCAGUUGCACGCCAGGGCGAUUUUUAAAGAGCCUGCGUGGGAGCGGGCGUUGUCCGAGACCCGCCGUGUUGGAGGGCCUGGGUGCAACGCCGGCUUCCUGGGUAUGCACACCCUGGGAGACAACAGCGGAGGGCUCAAGGGCUUGGGUCCCUGCCACCCACACAGGAGACCUCGAUGGAGUCUCCAGCUCCUGGCUGUGGCCCAGCACUGGCUGUUGCUGGCGUUUGGGGGGUGACCCAAUGGAUGGAAAAUCUCACUCCCUUUCAAAUAACAAUAAUAAUAAAGUAAAUAUUA
Non-coding RNA from Oryctolagus cuniculus (rabbit), 2209 nucleotides. The record is from RefSeq and is a predicted model, not a curated record. Lineage: Eukaryota; Metazoa; Chordata; Mammalia; Lagomorpha; Leporidae.